RNAcentral lists this ribosomal RNA (497 nucleotides) under uncultured bacterium. RNAcentral's name for it is "partial 16S ribosomal RNA". It matches the Rfam family "Bacterial small subunit ribosomal RNA", at positions 28 to 507 of the family's 1533-position model. The record is from RNAcentral.
GAUGAACGCUGGCGGCAUGCCUAAUACAUGCAAGUCGAGCGAACAGACGAGGAUCUUUCUCCUCUGACGUUAGCGGCGGACGGGUGAUUAACACGUGGAUAACCUACCUAUAAGACUUGCAUAACUUCAGGAAACCUGAUCUAAUACCGGAUAAUAUAUUGAACCUCAUGGUUCAAUAGUGCAAGCCGUUUUUGCUGUCCCUUAUAGAUGGAUCCUCGCCGCAUUAGCUAGUUGGUAAGGUAACGGCUUACCAAGGCAACGAUGCGUAGCCGACCUGAGAGGGUGAUCGGCCACACUGGAACUGAGACACGGUCCAGACUCCUACGGGAGGCAGCAGUAGGGAAUCUUCCGCAAUGGGCGAAAGCUUGACGGAGCAACGCCGCGUGAGUGAUGAAGGUCUUCGGAUCGUAAAACUCUGUUAUUAGGGAAGAACAAAUGUGUAAGUAACUAUGCACGUCUUGACGGUACCUAAACAGAAAGCCACGGCUAACUACGUG